RNAcentral lists this ribosomal RNA (478 nucleotides) under uncultured bacterium. RNAcentral describes it as "bacterial SSU rRNA". It matches the Rfam family "Bacterial small subunit ribosomal RNA", at positions 1 to 507 of the family's 1533-position model. The record is from RNAcentral.
ACGUAGUUUGAUCCGUGGCUCAGGAUGAACGCUGGCGGUGCGCCUAAUACAUGCAAGUCGAGCGAGACGUAGUUUUAAGUUUACUUGAGACUUUGAAAGCGGCGGACGAGCGAGUAACACGUAAGAACCUGCCCUGUACUCAGGGAUAACUCGGUGAAAGCCGAGCUAAUACCGGAUGGUCUCGAAAGAGUAAAGAUUUAUCGGUACGGGAGGGGCUUGCGGACUAUCAGCUAGUUGGUGGGGUAAUAGCCCACCAAGGCUAUGACGGAUAGCUGGUGUGAGAGCAUGACCAGCCGCGAUGGGACUGAGACACCGGCCCAUACUCCGUACGGGAGGCAGCAGUAAGGAAUCUUCCGCAAUGGACGAAAGUCUGACGGAGCGACACCGCGUGGUGGAUGAAGGCCCAUGGGUCGUAAACACCUUUCUAUGGGAAGAAGAUCUGACGGUACCAUAGGAAUAAGGACCGGCUAAUUACGUG